RNAcentral lists this ribosomal RNA (458 nucleotides) under uncultured bacterium. Its description in RNAcentral is "partial 16S ribosomal RNA". It matches the Rfam family "Bacterial small subunit ribosomal RNA", at positions 338 to 795 of the family's 1533-position model. The record is from RNAcentral.
CCUACGGGGGACAGCAGUGAGGAAUAUUGGUCAAUGGACGCGAGCCUGAACCAGCCAAGUAGCGUGAAGGAUGACUGCCCUCCGGGUUGUAAACUUCUUUUAUAAAGGAAUACAGUGAGGCACGUGUGCCUUUUUGUAUUUACUUUAUGAAUAAGGAUCGGCUAACCCCGUGCCAGCAGCCGCGGUAAUACGGUGGAUCCGAGCGUUAUCCGGAUUAUGGGGGUUAAGGGGUGAGCAGGCGGAGGUGCAAGUCAGCGGUCAAAUUGCGGGGCUCAACCCCGUACUGCCGUUGAAACUGCAUCCCUUGAGUGCGCGAGAGGUAUGCGGAAUGCGAGGUGUAGCGGUGAAAUGCAUAGAUAUCACGAAGAACUCCGAUUGCGAAGGCAGCAUACCGGCGCGCAACUGACGCUCAUGCACGAAAGCGUGGGUAUCGAACAGGAUUAGAUACCCUGGUAGUC